Molecule: transfer RNA, 87 nt
Filed under: Ephemerocybe angulata
Lineage: Eukaryota; Fungi; Basidiomycota; Agaricomycetes; Agaricales; Psathyrellaceae
Description: Coprinellus angulatus tRNA
Rfam family: tRNA
About the family: Transfer RNA (tRNA) molecules are approximately 80 nucleotides in length.
Source: Rfam by way of RNAcentral
GCCAAUGUAGCACAAUGGUAGUGCGUUGCUUUCCUACCUUGCGGUUUGAACAGGCAGAGGCUGUGGGUUCGAGUCCCAUCAUUGGUU